Molecule: long non-coding RNA, 7323 nt
Organism: Mercenaria mercenaria
Lineage: Eukaryota; Metazoa; Mollusca; Bivalvia; Venerida; Veneridae
Exons: 2
Source: RefSeq, a predicted model, not a curated record
CAGUAGAUGUUAUGGACACACCAUUUGACCUGAACCUGCAGCUGCCAGUGAUCAUUGGAUCCAUACCUCUCCAGUCAGUUGUUAACCAAUAUAUGCCACAGAUACAGCCAGGAACCAUAACUAAUCAACCAAUGGGAUUCAGUGCUCCUGUCAACUUUGACCUACCACCGCCAGCAUACCAUGAGUGUGUGUUCGGAAAGGUUGAUACGACAGAUGAUGAUGACAAAAAUGCUGCGGGAAAUAUGAAUUUUGCGCCAUCCUACACGUACUAUGACUGGAUGAGUCCUCCUCCACCUAGUGCUCCCCAAAACUAAUAACAUUUUAGUUGCUAAUAUGCUUUUAACUUCUGAAAGGGUACCAAUUGCCGCCAGUGUUGACCUUUGCAAAGUUGUUGUUUUUAGCUCACCUGAGCCUAAGGCUCAAGGUGAGCUUUUGUGACCGCUCAAUGUCCGUCGUGUGUUCUGUAUAGUUUGGUGUAAAUCUGCACCUUGUGUCAAAAUCUUCAAAACCACUGGGCAGAUUUACACCAAACUUUACAGGAAUGAUCCUUUGGUGGCCCCCUUUCAAAAUUGCCCUAAGAAUUGAAUUCCAUGCAGAACUUUGGUUUCCGUGGCAACCUAAAGGAAAAUCUUCUUGUCAGUAACUUUUAGCCGGAAUUCAAAACUAUUUUAUAGAAAUGAUCUCUAGGUGACCCUCUACCAAAAUUGCCUAAGCCAUUCUUUUCAGAUAAAAACAUGGCCGCCGGGGGGAGGGGGUGUGGUGGGGGGGCUAUCAAAAUUGCCCAAAGAAUUCAAAUCCAUUUAGAACUGUGGUUGCCAUGGCAACCGAAAGGAAAAUCUUUUAAAAUCUUGUCAGAAACUAUUAGCCGGAUUUCAAAAAUAUUUUUGUAGAAAAUUUAAUGAUCUCUAGGUGACCCUCUCCCAAAAUUGCUUAAGCCAUUCUAUUUUGGUAAAAAACAUUGCUGCCAAGGGGCUUGGCUUAUUUUUCCUAUAUGGUUAUAUUGUAAAUUUCAGAAAUCUUCUCUGAAACCUGAAGACCUAGAGCUUAGAUAUUUGGUGUGUGGCAUUGUCUAGUGGACUUUUACUAAGAUUAUUCAAGUUACGAUCCCAGGGCCACUAUUGGCCCCGCCCUGUGGUCUCUUGAAUUUAAAUAGAGUUCUCUAGGAAAAACAUAGAAAAUUGUUCUUCUCUUAAACUGAGUGGCACACAGAUUAGAUAUUUUACUUGUGGCAUUGUGUAGUGGUCCUUUCCUUAGAUUGUUCAAAUCAUGACCCAAGGUUCAUUUAAAGCCCCGCCAUUGGGUCACUUAGUUUUUAUAUGAAUUAUAUAGGAAAAGAUAUUUUAAAAAUUAUCUGAUCAUAUGUUCUAGACUGUUUACUUAUAAUUACCUGAUGACCCAAAGUAAUUAGGGUCACUUGGCUGUGACCUUGACCUACUGACCUACUUUCUUGUUUUUUUAAGAAUCAGCCUUGAAAUUUUGAUGACCUAUACAGCUUUGCACACUGCUCUUAAAACUGACUUUCAGUGACCAUGAAUGUGAGCUACUGACCUACUUUCUUAAUAUUUUAAAAUCAGUUUGACUUUUGAAACAUGUUCACACAACUAGCAAAAGAUUUCAAUGCUAACUUAUAUUUGACUUUCUUACCUGAUUUCUUACACUUGUCUAUGAAGCUCAAAUUACUCAGGUGAGCGAUCCAGGGUCAUCAUAACCCUCUUGUUUAUAGUUAUUUUCUUUUUGGAUAAAAACUAUAAUUUUGUUAUAAGUAAGGCUAAGUGCAAUAAUUAUUGAGCUUUGCUAAUUUACCACAAGAAUGAUGAAAUGUUUCCCAUCAUGUGGGAUGUUUUGUGUUAAAGGUGAGCUAUUAGUGUAGAUGGAUAAUCUGGUAUCCAAUGUCAAAAUUUUAAAUAUUUUCUUCUUCAAAACUACUAUCCAAAAUUAUACCAAAUUUGGUCUGUAGCAUCCUGGUAAGUUUGUUCAAAUGGUUCUGCUUGACCCCUUUUUGAGAACUCCAGAGCUAAAAAUAGGAAGACCUUUAAAAUGACUUAUUCUCAUGAAUCCAUCAAACUUGAUUUGUAAAAGCCUUGGGUUAACAUCUCUCAAGUUUCUUCAGCUGGUUCAGCUUUACCCUUUACAUAGGUCACUCGAGCUUAAAAUUGAAAAAUCUUCAAAAAACUUGCAUUCUUUUUUGGCCCUCUCUCAAGUUUGCUCAAAUGAUAAUGCAUGACUAUUUUAGAGUAACAGAAAAACCUUUUAAAUAACUUGUAAUGCACUGCUUCAUGGAUGUUUACCAAAUUUGGUCAGAAGCAAGGUUAAAAGAUAAAGGUUCUCAUAAGGUGAGCGACUAAUGCAGUCUAUGGCUUUUUGUCAAACUUCUGAUAUUUUUUUGUUAGCCUGCAUUUUCAGAUUUAUAGAAAUGACAUUUUAAAGCAAUAACAAAGGUUUCAAAAAGGUACCUCUUUUAAGCUCACCAGAGCACAACUGCUUGAAGUGAACUUUUGUGAUCACAAACACUUUGUCUGUCAUCAUCAACAAUUUCUUCCUAUGGCAUCUCUUCUCAAACCACCAGUUGGAAGUUGAUGACACUCAGCCUUGCUGUUCCUUGAAUGGUCCUCUUCCAACCGCUUUAGUUGUAUGUAUGGGCAGCCUAGGUCAAAUUUCCAUAUUUGUAUAUUUUGGAUUUUAAAAAUCUUGUCAGAAACUGCUGUUUAUACAGUCUGCUUUGCAAACUGCUGGUUAGAAAUGAUUUCAGGCAUAUGAUCCUCAGGCAACUCUUUCCCAAGAGUAAUCAGAUUAUUUUGAUUUGUCAAAAACAUGACUACCAGAUUGUGUGGUCACUAUUCCCUACAGGUAUAUAGUGGAAACUAUAAACUUCUUCAGAGAAACUGAUUGCUGGAGUUUUAAAUAAUUUCUCAGGUCAGAUGUGUCGUUUUUUUACCCUUUACCAAAAUUGUUCUGAUUCAUUUAAAAAUAUGAUCAGUAGAGCUAAUGAUAGAAAAGUCUUGAAACAAUAUCUCCUAAACUGUGAAAUAAUUUUGCAGAAGGAUUCCUUAGGUGUCCCACUCAAUAUUCUCCAUACUAUGUCAGUUUGUUUAAAAAAAACAUGGCUACCAGGGCUAAAAAUAGAAAAUUCUCCAAACAAUUUCACACAAAUGCCCCAUUGGGUGACCUUCUACCAAGAAUGUUCUUGUUAUUCCAGUUUGUCAGUUUAAGACAUGACGGCCAGUGCUGAAAGUAGGAAAAUCUUCAGACACCAUCUCAGUCUAAACCACAUGUCUGAUUUUGAAAUAAUUUAACAGAAUUAUUCCUUUGGUGAUCCCAGAUUAUUUGACAGUGUUCUCCUGAAAAUCUUCAGGCCUGUUUUCAAAUUAAUUUUAUUAAAAUAUUUCUUGUUAUACCUGUUUAAUCUGUGAAACUCAAGUGAGGGAUAUAUGGCCAUCAUUUUCUGCAUUAUGUGUUCGGUGUAAAGAUAUUGGUAGAGAUUGCUUUAGAAGAAAUUGAGCCUUUGGUGUAAUUUACAUAUGCUAUGUAUCAACUGACAUUAAUAAUUAUGUCUUCCCCAGGAGACAUAUUGUUUUUGCCCUGUCCGUCCGUCCGUACGUCACACUUCAUUUCCGAGCAAUAACUGGAGAACCAUUUGACCUAGAACCUUCAAACUUUAUAGGGUUGUAGGGCUGCUGGAGUAGACGACCCCUAAUGUUUUUGGGGUCACUCUGUCAAAGGUCAAGGUCACAGGGGCCUGAACAUUGAAAACCAUUUCCGAUCAAUAACUAGAGAACCACUUGACCCAGAAUGUUGAAACUUCAUACGAUGAUUGGUCAUGAAGAGUAGAUGACCUCUAUUGAUUUUGGGGUCACUCCGUCAAAGGUCAAGGUCACAGGGGCCUGAACAUUGAAAAACAUUUCUGAUCAAUAACUUGAGAACCACUUGACCCAGAAUGUUGAAACUUCAUAGGAUGAUUGGUCAUGAAGAGUAGAUGACCUCUAUUGAUUUAAGGGUCACUCCGUCAAAGGUCAAGGUCACAGGGGCCUGAACAUGGAAAACCAUUUCCGAUCAAUAACUAGAGAACCACUUGACCCAGAAUGUUGAAACUUCGUAGGAUGAUUGGUCAUAAAGAGUAGAUGACCCCUAUUGAUUUUGGGGUCACUCCAUCAAAGGUCAAGGUCACAGGGGCCUGAACAUGGAAAACCAUUUCCGAUCAAUAACUAGAGAACCACUUGACCCAGGAUGUUGAAACUUCAUAGGAUGAUUGGUCAUGCAGAGUAGAUGACCCCUAACGAUUUUGGAGUCACUCUGUUAAAGGUCAAGGUCACAGGGGCCUGAACAUCGAAAACCAUUUCCGGUCAGUAUCUUGAGAACCACUUGACCCAGAAUGAUGAAACUUCAUAGGAUGAUUGGUCAUGCAGAGUAGAUGACCCCUAACGAUUUUGGGGUCACUCUGUUAAAGGUCAAGGCCACAGGGGCCUGAACAUGGAAAUUCAUUUCCAAUCAAUAACUUGAGAACCUCUCGACCCAGAAUGUUGAAACUUCAUAGGAUGAUUGUUCAUGCAGAGUAAAUGACCCUGAUUGUUUUUGGGGUCACUCCGUUGAAGGUCAAGGUCACAGGGGCCUGAACAUUGAUAACCAGUUUCGAUCAAUAACUUGAGAACCACUUGACCCAGAAUGUUGAAACUUCAUAGGAUGAUUGAACAUGCAGAGUAGAUGACCCCUAUUUAUUUUGGGGUCAGUCAAUUAAAGGUCAAGGCCACAGUGGCCUGUUCAUGUAAAAUCAGGAGCCUGAACAGUAACUUGAGAACCACUAGGCCAAGAGUGUUGAAAUUUAGCGGGAUGACUGGACAUGCCAAGUAGAUGAUCCCUAUUGCAGCCAACCAUCAGUGUCUCUUUAACUUUCGCUCCUGACCCCUAUUGACUUCUUGCCUAUAGGACUUUGCAUUUGGGGAGACAUGCGCUUUUUUACAAAAGCAUUUUCUAGUUAUUAUAUUUACAUGUAUUAUUUAAAUCAUCUUUACUGUUACCAUUUUUAUUAGCUCACCUGUCUCAUAGUGACAAGGUGAGCUUUUGUGAUCACACUUUGUCUGUCGUCCGUCGUCAGUCCGUCCGUCCGUCCGUCAACAAUUUCUUGUCUGCACGAUAGUGGAUUCAUUUAUGAUUUUAUUUUAACCAAACUUGCACACAAGUUGUAUUACCAUAAGAUCUUGGUUCCUUUCUAGAACUGGCCAGAUCCCAUUAUGGGUUCCAGAGUUAUGGCCCCUGAAAGGGCCAAAAUUAGCUAUUUUGACCUUGUCUGCACAAUAGCAGCUUUAUUUAUGAUUUGAUUUUUACCAAACUGGCAUACAACUUGUAUCACUAUAAGAUCUUGGUUCCUUUCUUGAACUGACCAGAUUCCAUUAUUUGAUACAAACUUCCAACGUAUCUUCAACAACAAUAAAUUGUGGAUUCCAUGACAAAUCAGAUCCAAUCGUAGGUUCCAGAGUUAUUUUAUAUCUGAUUACCUCCCCUGAUUGUAAUCAAAAUGGAUUUAUAUCAGUAAGUACUUAUAGGACUUUUAUUUCAGAUUAAAAUGGGUAUAUCUCCAUAACUAAUGAAGAUACUGAUCUGAAAUUUCAUUUAUGUCAACAGAUUUACUUUGCAGAUCUUUCUUUUGUUCACUUACAAUAAUUUUGUUUUUAAUUACUUCCCUUUUAUGUUACUAUAAAUAGCUUAUUUUUAGUAACUGUUUUAUUAUUGGCCGUAGGGGAAAACCGAGCCCACUUGUCUGUGGUAUAACAUGGAUGGUACCUCCAAUUUUUAGGUGUAUUUUGACAUAUCUGUAAUUUUUUUUUUCAUUUUGGUUAAAUUUCUUCCCUUUGUUGUUCCUGUCCUUUGGACUUAGAUAGUUUUUCUGAGGACCUUCUUGUCCUCAAGUGCAAUAACAGGUGAGCGAUAUAGGGCCAUCAUGGCCCUCUUGUAUUAUUAUUUGAUAUUAAGUAAGUGUUGUAUACAGAAAUAAGCUGUGUUGUUUUUACAGCGAUUUUGCUUUAUGUACAACUAUAUUUUACUGUUGUAAUGUUGUGAUGUAUAAAUUGUAGAUCAGUCUGUACAUGUAUGUCCUUCUCAGUUUUAAACCAUAUUUAUGUGCUAAAAGUUUGGAAAAAGAAUUUUUUUUAAGGCCACACCAAAUUAAUUUCUUCUUCAUUGGAUUUUUUCAAAAAAAAAAAAAUAGGAGUGAGCAAGCGAAAUAGAAAUAAAUCUUUUUUUUUUUUAUUUCACCUGUUUUUGGAGCGGGUGAGGAAUGAUUUGAAGAAAAAAACAAUAAAAAGCCUUGUCACAAGAAUCAACAAGCACUGCCAAAACAUAUCAAAAAGGCUUGAAAAUGCAUAAAAGAAACAAAGAUCGUUUAGUAUUGAAGGUUUUAUUUAAGGCGUGUGGCUGCUGUAAAAAGUAUCCUCGUAUUCAGUGUUGUUAUAUUUUCUAGUCCUUUGGGAUCAUGGAGUCCAUUCAGUAGAUGGUAAUAGAGUUCUGCUUAAGCCGGUGCUAGGGGCCAUGAAAGGUGUUCCGCAUUUUAUUACCUCUCAUGAACAAACUCGGUCGAACUGUGGUCUGCUAUUGUUAUUUUUUUGGUUGCAUUCUAUGCUUUCAAGGGAUCGUUUUACAGAUUUUAUUAAUGACAAACUGUUCCCAAAAUACAUGGCAGCCACUCAACACCUGACUCCAGUAUAUCUUUAUGUUUACUGGGACGCACUACAUUGUAAUAUUUAUAAACAUUUGGAGAUGUAAACAAGCUGUUUAAAUUGUUGUCAGUUAGAUGAAAAUAUUCCUGAUCUAUUAUAAAAUAUCUUCUGUUACUUAUCCAUUGUAUACUGUUGUGUGAGAAUCUGAGGUUUUAUAUAAUUUCAUGCUAGAUUUUCAGGUAUGAACAUUGGUUGUUAGAUCUGUUGUGCUUUCAUUUUUACAGAUAUACUUAUUUCUGUUGUUAGUAAUAGUAUAUCAGUAUGUUUGAAUAUCAGCAUAUACUACGAGUCAAUCAGUCAUAGAAGAAGUUCUCUCAUUUCUUCACAUUGUUAAAAAAGUUUAUUAGCAUUUCAAGGCCACACAAUAUAUGAUCAGGUUUUAAUAUAACAGUAUAUAUGAUAAUGGUACAAGUACAUGUGUUGAAUAUAUUGUAGAAAAAUAUAAAAUACUUGUAGGUCAUAACUGUAAGUUUUGAAUUUAAAAUCUUGAUGUUGUUUAUUGUCUGAAUCUCAUUGUGAUACUACAUGAUGUAGCUAUGUAACAUUAUAGUUUUUAUACUAUUUCUGCCUUUCAUUGUAUUUUAUAUCAAAAUAAAUGGCUGUUUAAAAGCUAUAA